CUCCUAGGGAGGCCCCUCCUAGGGUCACAGCCAUCUGAGUCCCUGAAAUGCUGCUUUGGGGACUCAGGCCUCAAGCUGCCCAGCCUGAAUGCCCCUUAGAGACCCAGCCAUCCAUACCACCAGCCACUGCCUUCACUGGGGACCAGAGAUCCAGCCCUGCAGUUGCCACCACCACCAGCUUCAGACCCAAAACCCUCAGAGAUACCCUCAGGAAUACAGCUGUGCUCCCACGCGAUAAAGGAUCCAGGCUCUUAGGCCCCAGUCAGACAUACACUAUCUGAUCCCCUGAAACUUCUACUUGGGACCCAACCCCUCUCAAGGUCCAAGCCCUCACAGCUGGCUACAUUUAGGAGCCGUUGUAUUCACCACCUUCCUCACUCCCAGCUUUCCAACCUGCGGAUCAAACUGCCCCUGACCUCUGGAAACUCGCAUGGCACCUGCCUCCCCCACUUCCACUACUGCUCAGCCCCUUCUCCCCUCCUUUCUCUGGUGACGCAGAGGGAGGUCAUAGCUCCAGAGCUCCCAUCCCGCCCAAUCUCAGCUCUUCCCAGACAAGUCCAAUUAGAGGCCUUGGCAGGCAGCCUCAUUAGUAGCCGCAGCUGGGAGCCUGAAAGAGGGGAGGGGGAGAGGGAAGCAACACAGGAAACCAGAGGCCCGAAGGCCAGGGCCCCGGAGGAGGGUGGGCCCAGUCAUCUAGUGCGUUCUCCAUCCUCAGAGGCCUGGACACAGCCUCCUAACAAUCACAUCCCAAUCACAGGGCUGGGACUUCACGGCAUACAACCAAAUGCUUACACCAGCCUGACUGCAAAGUACCUGAGCUGGAAUCUGAAUCCACGCUGAUUCCAGAGGCCCCCCCUCACCCCAUUCAGG
Molecule: long non-coding RNA, 870 nt
Filed under: Homo sapiens (human)
Lineage: Eukaryota; Metazoa; Chordata; Mammalia; Primates; Hominidae
Description: HSALNT0261320
Source: RNAcentral